This is a non-coding RNA of Epinephelus lanceolatus (giant grouper), 1917 nucleotides long. NCBI's taxonomy places the organism in Eukaryota, Metazoa, Chordata, Actinopteri, Perciformes, Serranidae. The record is from the annotation of a RefSeq genome assembly.
GCAGCGUCCGCUUGGAGAGAGAGACUCACCUGUUCACCAGAAGGGAAAUUUGUUGUUUUUCGUGUGUAGAGCUGCAGGAGUUUGACGGCCUGUCGCCACAUGAUGUGUAUCUGAGUUAGUACAGAGAUAAAGUGUUGUAAGUAUAUUAAUGGGCUGUAUGAUUUCAUUUCAUAUUAAUGUACUAAUGUUUCAUAUACUGUGGAAAUAACUGUAUGUGAAUUUUGUUUAUUUCUUUUAUUUUGUUUAGCAGAAGAGCUACCGCUACAGUUGUUCAUGCAUUUUCAUGCAUUAUCAUAUAUUUUCGUGUAUUUACAUAAAAUUGUUCAUGAGUUGUUAAUGCACUGGCAUUAGUGCACUUUGAGUCAGAAACGUUGUUUACCGAGAUAGGUGAAAUCCUUUGAGUUUUGAAGAGUAAGAUAUUACUUGAAGUGAGGCUCUUCAUGCCUGAAGAUGUCCAUUUUUGUUUGUGAAUGAAAUCUUUGUUAAACCUAAACCAAAUUGAACUCUCCAAGAUAAUUUAAUACUACUCUCUUGUUUUUUUUAAAAGAGUAUUCGGAGAAAUAAAGAUCCCGUAAAUUAGUUUGUGUCCUGGGUUAUUUUAAAUUUGACCAGGCUACAUACCAUUUAAGUUUUUUCUGUUUAAACCUGCAAACCAGAAGCAUCAGUACUAUAUAUUCAGGCAUGCAUUUUGUACCAUAAAACAAAAUUAACACUUGAAUAUUUUCUGUAAAUGCAGGGACAUUUGGAAAAUGUUACAUGUCAGUGAGUAAUCACAUAACUGUAAAGCAAAGGUGAUCUGACUCUGCAGAUAUAAUAACACUGAACAGACUCUUCUAUUGGCUCCAGUUAGACCAAAAAUGAUGCUUCAUAUGUUUGAUUCUAUGCAAACUCAGUGAGCUUCCUUGUUACUCAGCUAUAAAAACAUCACAUCAGGCUGUCAGUGGAGUUCACAGCACGUCAGUUUCAACAUAAACCAUGUUCUCUGUAGCUCUGCUGCUGCUGUUGGCAGCUGGAUGUUUGAAGUGUGAACAGUUGACACAGCCAGCCUCUGUGACUGUGCAGCCAGGUCAACGUCUGACCAUCACCUGUCAGGUCUCUUAUUCUGUGAGCAUCUAUAUCACAGCUUGGAUCAGACAGCCUGCAGGGAAAGGACUGGAGUGGAUCAGUAGUGACACCACUGUCAAGGAUUCACUGAAGAACAAGUUCAGUAUCAGCUUAGACUCUUCCAGCAAGACAGUGACUCUAAACGGACAGAAUGUGCAGCCUGAAGACACUGCUGUGUAUUACUGUGCCAGAGAGCCACAGUGACACAAAGCAUCAGUAGACCUGAACAAAAACCCCUCAGUGCCUGAACACUUGUAACAUGAAGCCACCAGAGGAGGAGCCCUCAGACCACUAAUGAUUUCAACACCAGCUCACAGUUACAGUACAGAGAGAAACAGUCUUUAAUAGUUCUUAAAUAAAUCUCUUCUUUUUAAUCUUCCAUAAAAUUGUUACUAAAAUAAACAAACAAAAAAUGCAGUUCUUAUCUGAAGCAUAACUGCAUUUGUGACUGACUACAUUAUAGUCUUGAGCCAAAGAGUCAAACUACAGAAAAGUUUGUUUUCAUUGACAAUCAGAAAUUUUGUCAGAAAUUCCAGUUCCAUCUUCUCUUUGUGUGAGAUGCACCUUCGUGACUAAACAACUGGUAUAGUUUACAAGCCAGCUUAUUCCUUGUCAGUCAAGAAUCGCUUCACCAUUUCCAGAGACAACAACGUGGACCAGGUGUAUCUGCAGAUUCUGCUGUUUAUUAUUGUGCUCGAGAGCCACAGUGACACAGGAAGCCACAGAGCUGUACACAAACCACUGAAAAUGCCACUGCAACAGUCACUAAUAGAAAGUGCUGUAAAACCACCCCAUGCAAGAUGUUUUUAAACA